CGAACGGGUGCGUAACACGUGAACAACCUGCCCUCGUGUGGGGGAUAGCCAUGCUAACGCGUGGGUAAUACCGCAUACGGUCUUUCUGGGGAGUCCUGGGAAGAAGAAAGCUCCGGCGCACGGGGAGGGGUUCGCGGCCUAUCAGCUAGUUGGCGGGGUAAUGGCCCACCAAGGCGACGACGGGUAGCUGGUCUGAGAGGAUGGCCAGCCACAUUGGGACUGAGAGACGGCCCAG
Molecule: ribosomal RNA, 235 nt
Filed under: uncultured bacterium
Lineage: Bacteria
Description: partial 16S ribosomal RNA
Rfam family: Bacterial small subunit ribosomal RNA
Source: RNAcentral